Molecule: RNA transcript, 3037 nt
Organism: Hevea brasiliensis (rubber tree)
Lineage: Eukaryota; Viridiplantae; Streptophyta; Magnoliopsida; Malpighiales; Euphorbiaceae
Exons: 11
Source: RefSeq, a predicted model, not a curated record
UUAAUCUUAAACCGGAGGGGGACAAAAAAAUACAUUUUAUUUCGGACUUCACUCUCCGGACUCCCGUUUCCACUUCCAGGUUCCAGGCUUCAGGCUUCAACCUUCAACUGACUGAAAAAGCUUAAAGUCUCUAACAAUGGCAAUUUCAGCGUCCCCAAUUUCCUCUCCACUACGCAUCAACAUCAACUCCAACCUUGCCGCUUCCUCUUCCAUUCUCCCUCUCUUCAACGUCUCCUACAACUCUGCCAAUCGCCUUUCAACCAUUAUCGUCUGCUCUCAGAAAUCAGGGAGUGGAUUGACUAGUGGAGAUAAGAAAGCAUUAUUCGAACGAUACGGUCUCGAUCCUAAUGACUUCUUAUCAGAACCCUCUCCUAAGUCGAGGAGAAAAAAGGAAGUGCAAAAGACAGGAAGAGGAAAACAAGUCAGGGUCCCUGAAGAGGAGGCUAAGCCACCGAGGACCACGCAUACGUUGCUUCAGGUGCUUGGAGGAAAGGCUAAAAGAAAGAAAUUGCUUUCACCAGCAGGAAUGGAUGUGCGGCCAAUGAUGGAAGUUGUAAAAGGUUCUGCCUUUGAUAUCUUGCAGGCAGCUGGUGGCUGUCCUGCAUCCUUAAGGCCAGGUUGCUGGUUGGACUUGUACAGUGGCACAGGAUCUGUUGGUAUUGAAGCUAUCAGCCGAGGAUGUUCUGAGGUGCAUUUUGUUGAGAUGGAUCCCUGGGUUGUUUCAAACGUUCUACAACCAAAUUUGGAGUCAACUGGGUUCCUUGACGUUUCAGUUAUACAUAUAGUUCGAGUUGAAAACUUUCUAGAACGGGCAGAAAAAUUUAUAGGAAGGCAUAGAAAAUUUGAUUUCAUUAGCGUCACACCUCCAUAUGCGGAAGUUGACUAUGGGAUACUGAUGGAUCAAAUUUCAAAAUCAGCCCUAGUUGGAGAAGAUACAUUUAUUGUGGUGGAAUAUCCUCUAAGAACUGACAUGAUGGAUUUGUGUGGAUGCCUUGUAAAGGUGGAGUCAAGUACAACAAAUAAUUGAUGUGAUAACACAUGCUAGUGGAAAUCAUAUACAAGAUAAACAGAAUGAGCCAAAAUGAGGAAUGGGACGAAUGGAGAUCCGUGGUGCUACUAAUUGCUUUUAAGUGGACGAGGCAGAGGACAUAGUUAUUAAGGUUGGGCAACUUCAGGGUCCAUUUGCUAGUUAAAUUUAGGGAGGGGCAAGAGUUGUUUUAUUUGCUCUAAACGAAGAGGGGUAAUUUACACAGUUACCACCACCACCACAACCAAAACCAUAACUUGCUUCUCUAUUUGACACCAAUUCCUGUUGAUCCAUAUGAGGCUUCUGUAGCACAAUAUGCAUCUCGACAGCGCUGAAGUUAAGAGUACAAAGAUGGAAAGAGAUUCCCAUACUUUGCAUUAGCUCUGAAAUCUAUCCAGUGUCAUUGUCAGUCUCUUACUACCCAUUUUGCACAUAUAUUGAAUAAGGUCAGUUGUCCUCCUGCCUCUUCAAUGCCUUUUCAGUCAUCUUCAUCGAAUGCAAUGGGUAUGCGAUCAGACUUCUGGCCAUGGACUUGACUUUUUACGUUUUUAUAGACAUUCUACAAUCUCAGACGCUAAGCGAUGCAAUGUUCUAAGCAUUUGGUAGACAUUCUGUAGAUGUUCUGUAGAUAUUCUUUCCAAAUCAAGAGCUAAUAUAUUUUCUGGCAAUGCUUUAGAGUUCCUUUCUAGUCCCAUUACUAAAAUCUUGGAUCUAUCCUAUAUGGCUCGGACUUUUUGCUAUGAAUAAUAGUUAUGUAAUGCCCAAUCAUAUUGGGGAAGUAUCAAGAGUUAGAUCCCAACCAUUGGAUCUAAACGUAACGAUGACAUUGAUGGAAACUACUCAAGUUGAAAACAGUGGGAUAAUGAAGGUGGGGUGAAGCGAUACAACACCUGGCGAAUAAAUAAGAAGAGGUGUCCUGUAUGCAGCACUAGAGGGCGUUUGCAUCAUUAUUAGAGUCGUAUUUAUUUUUAUCUAACUAAUUUAUAAUACGUUAUAAAUUUAUUGUUCUUGUAUUGAUAAUUAUUAUUUAUGUUUGCUACUUUAAUUAAAGUAAUUAUUUUUUGCUUUUCAUUCCUCUUAAUUAAUUUAAUUUUAUUAAUUAAAAUGUGUAAUAUAAAAAUGUCUAAUAACUUAAAAAAAUCUUAAACUUGGCAUUUAUUUGGAAAUUUAUCACAUUAUUUUAUUUUUAUUAUUUUUAACUUAAAUAAAUUUGUUACUAAAUCUAUCAUAUUAAUAUACUUAAUUAAAUAAAAAUUUUAUCAAUGUUGUUUUUAAAUAAUACUAUUAUCAAGGUUUUUGUUUAAAUAAAUACUAUUAAAAAUUUGUCUAUCUAAUUUGCUUACCUUAAAUAAAUUGAGGGUAUUAAGGGUAAAAUGUGAGAUGAAAGGAUGAGAAUCGAUAAAAUGCUAAGAGAUUAGAGGCUGUGAGUAGAUUUUGUGAGAGAAGGUUGGGUGUCAUAUCAAUUAUGUCUAGUCCGAUUAGACGAGUCUCUAAAAACCACAGAGAUUCUCUUUUUAGAGAUUCUAAAAGAGAAUGCUGAUACUUUAGUUAAUGGUAUCCACUUGCAUAUACACUGACAUAUGCCAAGAGAGAAUCGCAAACAAUAAGAUGACUUGUAACAAGUGAUGUACGAAAAUGGGACUGGGUAGCUUUUUCCAGUGUCUGAAAAGUUUCCAACAUAGAAACGAGAUGACACGGCUUAGAGAUGUUUCUGGGCCAUUUCCAAAAAUACGGGAAAUCAAACAUGCAUUUCUGGCGACGAACACCCGUAAGGAGGAGAGGAUCAAAGGACUUACCUGGCAGUGCAGUGCAGUGCAGUGCAGCGGCGAUAGAUGGCAGCAACGGCAACAACAGUGGCAGUGACGACGCAGAUAACUGAUCGAAGAUUUGGUCGGACACAUUUAGCAAUUUAUGGACCCAGGUGGGCUCAGAAGAAGAAAGUCAGAAAAGCCACUUUGAAUAGUAGAAGUUUGACCAAAAGUCUACAUGCUGAACACUAAUGGUGCAACC